GAGUGCAUUGUCGGGCAAUAACUCCUUUGGAAGCUAGUUGGCCAAACAUGUCCAUUCGGAUCAUGAAGGGGGACACUGCCAAAGGAGAAUUGCCCAGCAAUUCAUUC
Non-coding RNA from Cajanus cajan (pigeon pea), 107 nucleotides. NCBI's taxonomy places the organism in Eukaryota, Viridiplantae, Streptophyta, Magnoliopsida, Fabales, Fabaceae. The record is from Rfam.